UUCACGCGGCAUCGCAACAAUAUUCGAGCAAAUUUAUACUGAAAAUGCGCAAGAAAACAUGCAAUGGAAUAAUUUAAAAACUGCGGAUAUCAUGCGCAACACUAAUCGGCAAAAAAACAGAAUGCCGUGCCGCAAACUUGGCGUGACCACGGCAAAGCUGUCCCUCCUAUCCCCCCGGAAAUCUUUUCUAAACUGAUUGGCGCUGUCAACGCUCUGGUCCUCCGUGUCACCAUUCUGACAAAGGGUUACAUUUAUGGCGCUGGUGGUAAGGGGGCACGGCAAAAAUGUCCAGGGCCGGACAGGAUGAGAAUUUUUGCCGGUCUCAUAUGUGCUCGUAAAAUCUGUAGUCGUGUUCG
Molecule: long non-coding RNA, 356 nt
Organism: Paramacrobiotus metropolitanus
Lineage: Eukaryota; Metazoa; Tardigrada; Eutardigrada; Parachela; Macrobiotidae
Exons: 3
Source: RefSeq, a predicted model, not a curated record